GAUGCUGAAAUCCCGAGCAAAAACCAAAGUGUUGGAGUAACUCAGCGGGUCAGACAUCAUCUAUGGAAUGAAUGGCCAGACGACGCUUCAGGUGGCUUUCUUUC
Molecule: long non-coding RNA, 104 nt
Organism: Amblyraja radiata (thorny skate)
Lineage: Eukaryota; Metazoa; Chordata; Chondrichthyes; Rajiformes; Rajidae
Exons: 3
Source: RefSeq, a predicted model, not a curated record